GACGUAGGAGGCGAGCGUUGUCCGGAUUUACUGGGCGUAAAGGGCGUGUAGGCGGCACGGCAAGUUGGAUGUGAAAGCCCCCGGCUUAACUGGGGAGGGUCAUUCAAUACUGUCGAGCUAGAGGCCGGUAGGGGGAGAUGGAAUUCCCGGUGUAGUGGUGAAAUGCGUAGAUAUCGGGAGGAACACCGAUGGCGAAAGCGAUCUCCUAGGCCGGUCCUGACGCUGAGGCGCGAAAGCGCGGGGAGCGAACCGG
RNAcentral lists this ribosomal RNA (253 nucleotides) under uncultured bacterium. RNAcentral's name for it is "partial 16S ribosomal RNA". It matches the Rfam family "Bacterial small subunit ribosomal RNA", at positions 524 to 776 of the family's 1533-position model. The record is from RNAcentral.